This is a long non-coding RNA of Xenopus tropicalis (tropical clawed frog), 3159 nucleotides long. RefSeq lists it as uncharacterized. NCBI's taxonomy places the organism in Eukaryota, Metazoa, Chordata, Amphibia, Anura, Pipidae. The transcript is spliced from 4 exons. The record is from RefSeq and is a predicted model, not a curated record.
AGAGAGAAAGCCGCACCCUCCGCGAAGCCCAGUAGCGCGCCGUGAUCGUAUAGUGGUUAGUACUCUGCGUUGUGGCCGCAGCAACCUCGGUUCGAAUCCGAGUCACGGCAUUGUGAGAUAACAAUGGCACGGCAUGGGGGCUUCCAUUUUUAACAUGGUCUGCGAAGAGCCAAAAUUGUUUCCACCAAGAUAUGCAAAAAUCUUCCUAUUAGAAACAGACAGCAAACUAGAGAUGGGACAGGAGUGAGGAGAAGGAUGACUGAAGCCUAGAAAAAAGUCUGGAUGUGGGUGCCGACUCCAUCAUGCUGCUGCUGCUGCUGCCUCACAAGGUGUGUCUACUUACCAACCUAUUUAGAACAGCAGGACGGUUUUAUCAGCAAUGAGCAAAUGACCGGCAGGGAAGUAUGACAUGAAUAAACUAUUGGGUAACUCCUCUAUCCUAAAUGCUUAAUGGAACUAGUGUUACGGCUGCACCUUGAUUGGGGAUCCCCUAUCCUUAUUCCCAAGCUGAGAGGUUUUCAUCACUGGCACAGGUUUGUGCAGUUCCAGUGGCACUCUUUUUAUGUGUGCAAACCAAGCAGAGACAUCUGGCUCCUAGAAAAGGGCAUAAACAGAGGAAUUGUCAUUGUUCAGAGAUGAUCUGUGUACAUCUGGGAACUAGAGAUGGUGUUGUUUCCUCAAGUAUACUUAAGGAUAUGCUGUGCUGAUGUUGGCUGAGCUAAGGGACUGAUGCACAAUAUAUAAUAUUCUUUAUACAAGGCUGGCAGAACAGAAACCAGUGCAGUCUGCAUUAUUGUUAAUAAGCCACAUUGUUUAGCAUUUACAAUUAAAUAUACUGUAUAAUACAUAAAUAUAAAAAAAGUAAAAUACAGGAAGAAAUAUGAAAAUACAUACAAAAAUAGAACUAUUUAUUGGUAUUUGAGAGAUGCUGUCUUGCAAAGGCUCUAGGCUUCCGGGCUUUUGUUUGCCAAAGUUCUUUGUAUGUUAUCAUUAUAUUAUCACACAUUAGUAUGAAAGGACAAAUGAAUACUUGUAGAGGGCAGCGCUGCUUGUUUAGCCUCUGUAUUGACUUUGCUAAUGUGGGAAGUAAGCAUAUCAGCCCCCCAGUGUUUGAUUUAACUAAUGGCCUCAAAACACAAUGGAGGAGUCAGAACUUUGAAAUUAACCUUGAAAUAACACCAAAUAAUAACCUGAUGAUUUCAGCAGGAAACAAUGUAUACUUUGCUAUAAAAAUAGCUUAAUUCAAUUAACAAGCAAAAACUUAAAUUCAUAUAUGUGCAACACGGAUGGCCUUUUGCUAACUGCCUAUAAGUGAUAUCAUAUAGCAAAGUGAUAACUUACAACAAUUCAACUUAAACUUUAACUAUUUAUUGCCACAGGGCUUAUACUAGAGCUCAAUUCUGUUCAUUUUAGUUCUAAAGCACUGCCAAGGCACAGCACAUGGACUACCAUAACACACAUCGGGUGCCAGAACUCAGGGGCAUGACAGGUACUUUGUGCAGUUUUCAGGUACAGUUUCCAUACGGAAUCAAGCUCUUGCCUUUUAGUUUUUUAUUUUUGGACUAAAAGUAAAAAAUUUUUUUUAAUUUUUUUAAUCCUUAUACAUAUAUGUAGGCAUGAAACCACAACGCCAAGAGAUGUCAACAGAACAUAGGAUUAAUCAAGUAAUCAAUUUGUUAAAUUCUGAGAACUCAUCAACAGCCUUGAUAAAUACCUCUAUUUAGGCUUUAGCCACUGCUGAACUGAAUUUCUUCAAGCUGAAAUCAAGAGACAGAUAAAGUCACCCCAUCCCAAGCUGUGGAAAAAAACAGUUUAAUUGUACCUAUUGCAUGCAUCUUGCAUGGCGCAUACAAAAAUGACUAACCUCCAUACCAAGUUGAAAAUUUUAAAAUUUACUCAGUAGCAUCCAACCUAACUAGACUGACCACUGCAACUGAUGCUUAAUGCUACCACAGGCCCAGUACCUCACCCAGUUUAAUUCUGCUACAUCUAGAUGGGGGAGCAUAGAGCACAGUGAUGCUGACCACACACAAAAAAAAAAAAAUCUGAAUUCCCAUUUAAAAAUGGAAAUUCUGCCAUUAAAAUUUACCAUGGGCUGGUCACCACCCUUGGAAAAAUGCCAUUCAAGGCAAGGUUCCCCCGGGGAAAACAAAGAUAUUACAGAGACAAGUUAUCUGGGUGUUGUAUAUAGAGAUUACUACACAUAUCUCAACACAGUUUUUCGGAUGGCAGUAUUGAAAUUACACUGUAACUAUUUUAUUCCAGCCUUCAGUGAUACAAUUUAGAAAUUCAGCAGGCCAGUUUGUUUGUGGUGCUAGCAGAGGACAUUAUUGACAGAACAAUUACUAUUAGCCAAAUGUGUAUUCUACAUAUGAAACAACAUCCCUCAAAAUCCCACUGAUUGACUUAUGCUUGUGUGUCAUAUGAGCAUCAAUAUCUGUUCCCACUGGAACAUGGGUCAUAUUUUCCUCUGUUCAGUCCAUGUACCAAGCUUAUAAAUCUCAUCUGCCACUCAUUUUUGGUUCUCAUUGAAUACCAAGAUUUCCCUGUUAAGGAAAUCAAACUAUUCAAGCGCCAGUUAAAUUAUUUCAAUUAAAUUUAAAAACAUUUUUUGGACGUGUUGAUCACAGGAGCAUAUAUUUUUGCAUGAUGCCUUGGUGUCUGGUAUUCAAGUAAAUGUGCCUCAAAAUGCUACAGCACUUUGGCACCUAUGCAGUUAACUGUAUUAGUAAGGCACUCUCUCCUCUCUUAAAAAAAAAAAUCCUAACUGUAUGUUAUCUAGAGUUGUAAAAGAUGAAAUUGCUUCAGCAAAUGGUAACAGUCAUGUUUAUAAGCUUUAUUUUCAUUCUUGACAUAUGCAACAUUAAUAGAGGCAUGAAUAACAUGUCCAUAGCAAUGUGUUUCUCUUCAGAUCCAUGAAAAAAACUCAGCAAAUGGAAAGUUUCUGAUAAAUCAGUUUUUUCUUUAAAUACAAAGUCAUCCAUUCAUUCUGAAAACUGCUACUGGAAGUCCAUGAAACAGCAGUUACAGGUUUUACAGAGAAAAACUGUCCACAGCUGCUUUCCCAACCUUCUCUGCAACUACAUAUGAUCAGCUUGAAAAUAAUUUCUUCCCUUCAGGCAGUUUGAAAAAGGCAUGUCCAUAGCACCAGUCUUGAAA